CAUAGCCUUUAGCCACACAAGUAUUAAAGGUCCCGCCUGCCCAGUGAACUUCUUUCAACGGCCGCGGUAUUCUAACCGUGCAAAGGUAGCGUAAUCACUUGUCUUCUAAAUAAAGACCAGUAUGAACGGCUAAAUGAGGACAAAACUGUCUCUUAUAACUAAUCAGUGAAACUGAUCUUCCAGUACAAAAGCUGGGAUAAGCACAUAAGACGAGAAGACCCCGUGGAGCUUAAAACAAACCACUACCACACAACCCUAGUGCAAUGUUUUAAGUUGGGGCGACUUCGGAAUAAAAUCAAACUUCCGAGCACAGAACCACCACUUCCAAUCAAGGCCAACAAGCCAAAAAAUCGAAACACGACCCGGCCUAGCUGCCGAUCAACGAACCAAGUUACCCCGGGGAUAACAGCGCUAUUUCUUCAAGAGUCCCUAUCAACAAGAAGGUUUACGACCUCGAUGUUGGAUCAGGACACCCAAAUGGUGCA
This 485-nucleotide ribosomal RNA is filed under the name Trachylepis perrotetii. RNAcentral describes it as "partial 16S ribosomal RNA". It matches the Rfam family "Bacterial large subunit ribosomal RNA", at positions 1814 to 2557 of the family's 2925-position model. The record is from RNAcentral. Lineage: Eukaryota; Metazoa; Chordata; Lepidosauria; Squamata; Scincidae.